AGCGAACGCUGGCGGCAGGCCUAACACAUGCAAGUCGAACGGAUCCUUCGGGAUUAGUGGCGGACGGGUGAGUAACACGUGGGAACGUGCCCUUUGGUUCGGAACAACUCAGGGAAACUUGAGCUAAUACCGGAUGUGCCCUUCGGGGGAAAGAUUUAUCGCCAUUGGAGCGGCCCGCGUCUGAUUAGCUAGUUGGUGAGGUAACGGCCCACCAAGGCGACGAUCAGUAGCUGGUCUGAGAGGAUGAUUAGCCACACUGGGACUGAGACACGGCCCAGACUCCUACGGGAGGCAGCAGUGGGGAAUCUUGCGCAAUGGGCGAAAGCCUGACGCAGCCAUGCCGCGUGAAUGAUGAAGGUCUUAGGAUUGUAAAAUUCUUUCAGCGGGGACGAUAAUGACGGUACCCGCAGAAGAAGCUCCGGCUAACUUCGUG
RNAcentral lists this ribosomal RNA (433 nucleotides) under uncultured bacterium. RNAcentral describes it as "partial 16S ribosomal RNA". It matches the Rfam family "Bacterial small subunit ribosomal RNA", at positions 29 to 507 of the family's 1533-position model. The record is from RNAcentral.